GAUGAACGCUGGCGGCGUGCCUAAUACAUGCAAGUCGAGCGAACAGACGAGGAGCUUGCGCCGCGGACGUUAGCGGCGGACGGGUGAGUAACACGUGGAUAACGUACCUAUAAGACUGGGAUAACUUCGGGAAACCGGAGCUAAUACCGGAUAAGAUAUUGAACCGCAUGGGUCAAUAGUGAGAGACGGUUGUUGUGGCACUUAUAGAGGGAUCCGCGCCGCAUUAGCUAGUUGGUAAGGUAACGGCUUACCAAGGGGACGAUGCGUUGGCGAACUGAGUGGCUGGUAGGCCACAUUGGAACGUAGACACGGUCCAUACUACUACGGGAGGCCGCAGUAGGGAAUCUUCCGCAAUGGGCGAAAGCAUGACGGAGCAACGCCGAGCGAGUGACGACGGUCUUCCGAUCGUAAAACUGUGUUACUAGGGAUGAACCAAUGUGUACGUAACCAUGCCCGUAUUGACGGUACCUAAUCAGAAAGCAACGGCUAACUACGUG
This 497-nucleotide ribosomal RNA is filed under the name uncultured bacterium. RNAcentral describes it as "partial 16S ribosomal RNA". It matches the Rfam family "Bacterial small subunit ribosomal RNA", at positions 28 to 507 of the family's 1533-position model. The record is from RNAcentral.